Molecule: ribosomal RNA, 218 nt
Filed under: uncultured bacterium
Lineage: Bacteria
Description: partial 16S ribosomal RNA
Rfam family: Bacterial small subunit ribosomal RNA
Source: RNAcentral
GAUCCUGGCUCAGGAUGAGCGCUAGCUACAGGCUUAACACAUGCAAGUCGAGGGGCAGCAUGGUCUUAGCUUGCUAAGACUGAUGGCGACCGGCGCACGGGUGAGUAACACGUAUCCAGCCUGCCGUCUACUCUUGGACAGCCUUCUGAAAGGAAGAUUAAUACAAGAUGGCAUCAUGAGUCCGCAUGUUCAUAUGAUUAAAGGUAUUCCGGUAGACG